UUAAGUUAAUAAGGGCGCACGGUGGAUGCCUUGGCACUAGGAGCCGACGAAGGACGUGACAAACGACGAUAUGCCUUGGGUAGCUGUAAGUAAGCGAUGAUCCAGGGAUUCCGAAUGGGGGAACCCAACAGGUAAUACCUGUUACCUACAUCUGUUAAGGAUGUGAGGAGGAAGACGCAGUGAACUGAAACAUCUAAGUAGCUGCAGGAAGAGAAAGCAAAAGCGAUUGCCUUAGUAGCGGCGAGCGAAACGGCAGAAGGGCAAACCGAAGAGUUUACUCUUCGGGGUUGUAGGACUGCAAUGUGGACUCAAAGAUUAUAGAAGAAUGAUUUGGGAAGAUCAGCCAAAGAGAGUAAUAGCCUCGUAUUUAAAAUAGUCUUUGUACUUAGCAGUAUCCUGAGUACGGCGGGACACGUGAAAUCCCGUCGGAAUCUGGGAGGACCAUCUCCCAACCCUAAAUACUCCCUAGUGACCGAUAGUGAACCAGUACCGUGAGGGAAAGGUGAAAAGCACCCCGGGAGGGGAGUGAAAUAGAACCUGAAACCGUGUGCCUACAACAAGUUCGAGCCCGUUAAUGGGUGAGAGCGUGCCUUUUGUAGAAUGAACCGGCGAGUUACGUUAUGAUGCGAGGUUAAGUUGAAGAGACGGAGCCGUAGGGAAACCGAGUCUGAAUAGGGCGCCUUAGUAUCAUGACGUAGACCCGAAACCAUGUGACCUACCCAUGAGCAGGUUGAAGGUGCGGUAAGACGCACUGGAGGACCGAACCAGGGCACGUUGAAAAGUGCUUGGAUGACUUGUGGGUAGCGGAGAAAUUCCAAACGAACUUGGAGAUAGCUGGUUCUCUCCGAAAUAGCUUUAGGGCUAGCGUCGACAUUAGAGAUUCUUGGAGGUAGAGCACUGUUUGGGUGAGGGGUCCAUCCCGGAUUACCAAUCUCAGAUAAACUCCGAAUGCCAAUGAAUUAUGGUCGGCAGUCAGACUGCGAGUGCUAAGAUCCGUAGUCGAAAGGGAAACAGCCCAGACCACCAGCUAAGGUCCCAAAAUAAUUGUUAAGUGGAAAAGGAUGUGGGGUUGCACAGACAACUAGGAUGUUAGCUUAGAAGCAGCUAUUCAUUCAAAGAGUGCGUAAUAGCUCACUAGUCGAGUGACCCUGCGCCGAAAAUGUACCGGGGCUAAAACAAUUUACCGAGGCUGUGGAUACCUUUAUAGGUAUGGUAGGAGAGCGUUCUAUGUGUGAUGAAGGUAUACCGUGAGGAGUGCUGGAACGCAUAGAAGUGAGAAUGCCGGUAUGAGUAGCGAAAGACAGGUGAGAAUCCUGUCCACCGUAAGACUAAGGUUUCCAGGGGAAGGCUCGUCCGCCCUGGGUUAGUCGGGACCUAAGGAGAGACCGAAAGGUGUAUCCGAUGGACAACAGGUUGAUAUUCCUGUACUAGAGUAUGUAGUGAUGGAGGGACGCAGUAGGCUAACUAAAGCAGACGAUUGGAAGAGUCUGUCUAAGCAGUGAGGUGUGAAUUGAGUCAAAUGCUUAAUUCUAUAACAUUGAGCUGUGAUGGGGAGCGAAGUUUAGUAGCGAAGUUAGUGACGUCACACUGCCAAGAAAAGCUUCUAGCGUUUAAACAUACUCUACCCGUACCGCAAACCGACACAGGUAGUCGAGGCGAGUAGCCUCAGGUGAGCGAGAGAACUCUCGUUAAGGAACUCGGCAAAAUGACCCCGUAACUUCGGGAGAAGGGGUGCUGACUUAAAGUCAGCCGCAGUGAAUAGGCCCAAGCAACUGUUUAUCAAAAACACAGCUCUCUGCUAAAUCGUAAGAUGAUGUAUAGGGGGUGACGCCUGCCCGGUGCUGGAAGGUUAAGAGGAGUGCUUAGCGUAAGCGAAGGUAUGAAUUGAAGCCCCAGUAAACGGCGGCCGUAACUAUAACGGUCCUAAGGUAGCGAAAUUCCUUGUCGGGUAAGUUCCGACCCGCACGAAAGGCGUAAUGAUUUGGGCACUGUCUCAACGAGAGACUCGGUGAAAUUUUAGUACCUGUGAAGAUGCAGGUUACCCGCGACAGGACGGAAAGACCCCAUGGAGCUUUACUGCAGUUUGAUAUUGAGUGUCUGUACCACAUGUACAGGAUAGGUAGGAGCCUAAGAGAUCGGGACGCCAGUUUCGAAGGAGACGCUGUUGGGAUACUACCCUUGUGUUAUGGCCACUCUAACCCAGAUAGGUGAUCCCUAUCGGAGACAGUGUCUGACGGGCAGUUUGACUGGGGCGGUCGCCUCCUAAAAGGUAACGGAGGCGCCCAAAGGUUCCCUCAGAAUGGUUGGAAAUCAUUCGCAGAGUGUAAAGGUAUAAGGGAGCUUGACUGCGAGAGCUACAACUCGAGCAGGGACGAAAGUCGGGCUUAGUGAUCCGGUGGUUCCGUAUGGAAGGGCCAUCGCUCAACGGAUAAAAGCUACCCUGGGGAUAACAGGCUUAUCUCCCCCAAGAGUUCACAUCGACGGGGAGGUUUGGCACCUCGAUGUCGGCUCGUCGCAUCCUGGGGCUGUAGUCGGUCCCAAGGGUUGGGCUGUUCGCCCAUUAAAGCGGCACGCGAGCUGGGUUCAGAACGUCGUGAGACAGUUCGGUCCCUAUCCGUCGCGGGCGUAGGAAAUUUGAGAGGAUCUGCUCCUAGUACGAGAGGACCAGAGUGGACUUACCGCUGGUGUACCAGUUGUCUUGCCAAAGGCAUCGCUGGGUAGCUAUGUAGGGAAGGGAUAAACGCUGAAAGCAUCUAAGUGUGAAACCCACCUCAAGAUGAGAUUUCCCAUGAUUAUAUAUCAGUAAGAGCCCUGAGAGAUGAUCAGGUAGAUAGGUUAGAAGUGGAAGUGUGGCGACACAUGUAGCGGACUAAUACUAAUAGCUCGAGGACUUAUCCAA
RNAcentral lists this ribosomal RNA (2899 nucleotides) under Streptococcus pneumoniae GA17457. RNAcentral's name for it is "bacterial LSU rRNA". It matches the Rfam family "Bacterial large subunit ribosomal RNA". The record is from RNAcentral. Lineage: Bacteria; Bacillati; Bacillota; Bacilli; Lactobacillales; Streptococcaceae.